UUAUUAUUUCGUCUAACGCUUGACAACAAUGUCGAUAUGUGCCAUUAACUUUAUCAAUUAAACAAUCAAGAGAAGAUGCUUCGGACCUUAAAAACUCAAGCCCCCCUAAAUUUUUUAUUUCAGUAAAAUUUUCCAUUACUUUAUUUGAAGUUUCAGUUAUAUACCUAUUGUCAUUGACGGACUUUAUCUCUUCCAUAAGAGCAAAAAGCUUUUCUGUACCUUCUUUAGUUAAGCAAUCAAUACUCUUCACAGCAGCAUCCAAAAUAUUUUUUUCAUGUUCUUCAAUUAGAUCCAUAAACUCUUUGUCCAAACAUGUCGAAAAAUAUGGAUAAGCAGCCGUUUUAUCCGUCAAAACAUCUGGUGUUAUCGAUUGAACCAUAGUAACUGUAUCCAAUAAAGGAAAUGAGCCUACUGGUAUUUCGGGUUGUAAAUGAAUAAAAU
Non-coding RNA from Schizosaccharomyces pombe (fission yeast), 441 nucleotides. The record is from the annotation of a GenBank genome assembly. Lineage: Eukaryota; Fungi; Ascomycota; Schizosaccharomycetes; Schizosaccharomycetales; Schizosaccharomycetaceae.